This 689-nucleotide ribosomal RNA is filed under the name uncultured Pseudomonadota bacterium. RNAcentral describes it as "bacterial SSU rRNA". It matches the Rfam family "Bacterial small subunit ribosomal RNA", at positions 68 to 746 of the family's 1533-position model. Lineage: Bacteria; Pseudomonadati; Pseudomonadota. The record is from RNAcentral.
GGUAACAGGAAGCAGCUUGCUGCUUUGCUGACGAGUGGCGGACGGGUGAGUAAUGUCUGGGAAACUGCCUGAUGGAGGGGGAUAACUACUGGAAACGGUAGCUAAUACCGCAUAACGUCGCAAGACCAAAGAGGGGGACCUUCGGGCCUCUUGCCAUCGGAUGUGCCCUGAUGGGAUUAGCUAGUAGGUGGGGUAACGGCUCACCUAGGCGACGAUCCCUAGCUGGUCUGAGAGGAUGACCAGCCACACUGGAACUGAGACACGGUCCAGACUCCUACGGGAGGCAGCAGUGGGGAAUAUUGCACAAUGGGCGCAAGCCUGAUGCAGCCAUGCCGCGUGUAUGAAGAAGGCCUUCGGGUUGUAAAGUACUUUCAGCGGGGAGGAAGGUGUUGAGGUUAAUAACCUCAGCAAUUGACGUUACCCGCAGAAGAAGCACCGGCUAACUCCGUGCCAGCAGCCGCGGUAAUACGGAGGGUGCAAGCGUUAAUCGGAAUUACUGGGCGUAAAGCGCACGCAGGCGGUCUGUCAAGUCGGAUGUGAAAUCCCCGGGCUCAACCUGGGAACUGCAUUCGAAACUGGCAGGCUAGAGUCUUGUAGAGGGGGGUAGAAUUCCAGGUGUAGCGGUGAAAUGCGUAGAGAUCUGGAGGAAUACCGGUGGCGAAGGCGGCCCCCUGGACAAAGACUGACGC